AAUCAACGCUGGCGGCGUGCCUCAGACAUGCAAGUCGAACGCGAAAUUUCCCUUCGGGGAGAAAGUAGAGUGGCGCACGGGUGAGUAACACGUAGGUAAUCUGCCUUUGGGUGGGGAAUAACUCAGGGAAACUUGAGCUAAUACCGCAUAAUGCAGCGGCUCGACAUCGAGACAGUUGUUAAAGCGGGGAUCGCAAGACCUCGCGCCUAAAGAGGAGCCUGCGGCAGAUUAGGUAGUUGGUGAGGUAAUGGCUCACCAAGCCUGCGAUCUGUAGCCGGCCUGAGAGGGCGGUCGGCCACACUGACACUGACAUACGGGUCAGACUCCUACGGGAGGCAGCAGUCGGGAAUUUUGGGCAAUGGGCGAAAGCCUGACCCAGCAACGCCGCGUGAAGGAUGAAA
RNAcentral lists this ribosomal RNA (401 nucleotides) under uncultured bacterium. RNAcentral's name for it is "bacterial SSU rRNA". It matches the Rfam family "Bacterial small subunit ribosomal RNA", at positions 32 to 413 of the family's 1533-position model. The record is from RNAcentral.